AGUGAACGCUGGCGGUAGGCCUAACACAUGCCAGUCGAACGGCAGCACAGUAAGAGCUUGCUCUUACGGGUGGCGAGUGGCGGACGGGUGAGGAAUACAUCGGAAUCUACUUUUUCGUGGGGGAUAACGUAGGGAAACUUACGCUAAUACCGCAUACGACCUCCGGGUGAAAGCAGGGGAUCUUCGGACCUUGCGCGAUUGAAUGAGCCGAUGUCGGAUUAGCUCGUUGGCGGGGUAAAGGCCCACCAAGGCGACGAUCCGUAGCUGGUCUGAGGGGAUGAUCAGCCACACUGGAAGUGAGAAACGGCCCAGACUCUGACGGGGGGAAGCAGUCGGGAAUAUUGGGCAAUGGGCGCAAGCCUGAUCCAGCCAUACCGCGUGGGUGAAGAAGGCCUUAGGGUUGGAAAGCCCUUUUGUUGGGAAAGAAGAGCAGCAGGUUAAUACCCCGCUGUUCUGACGGUACCCAAAGAAUAAGCACCGGCUAACUUCGUG
Molecule: ribosomal RNA, 492 nt
Filed under: uncultured bacterium
Lineage: Bacteria
Description: partial 16S ribosomal RNA
Rfam family: Bacterial small subunit ribosomal RNA
Source: RNAcentral